UACGUAGGGUGCGAGCGUUGUCCGGAAUUAUUGGGCGUAAAGAGCUUGUAGGCGGUCUGUCGCGUCUGCUGUGAAAAUCCGGGGCUCAACCCCGGACUUGCAGUGGGUACGGGCAGACUAGAGUGAUGUAGGGGAGACUGGAAUUCCUGGUGUAGCGGUGAAAUGCGCAGAUAUCAGGAGGAACACCAAUGGCGAAGGCAGCACUCUGGGCAUUAACUGACGCUGAGGAGCGAAAGCAUGGGGAGCGAACAGG
Molecule: ribosomal RNA, 253 nt
Filed under: uncultured bacterium
Lineage: Bacteria
Description: partial 16S ribosomal RNA
Rfam family: Bacterial small subunit ribosomal RNA
Source: RNAcentral